Molecule: ribosomal RNA, 410 nt
Filed under: Chrysomya marginalis
Lineage: Eukaryota; Metazoa; Arthropoda; Insecta; Diptera; Calliphoridae
Description: eukaryotic LSU rRNA
Source: RNAcentral
CAGACACAUGAACAUCGACAUUUUGAACGCAUAUCGCAGUCCAUGCUGUAAGGUACUUUAAUUUCUAAUUGAAGUGCUGCUUGGACUACAUAUGGUUGAGGGUUGUAAGACUAUGCUAAAUAAGUUGCUUAUUUUCUUUUAUAAUCUAAAAGAAAAAGCACAUGUUGUAUUACUGGAUACAAUUUAUAUUGUAUUCAUAAUACUAAUAGCUAAAGAUACAAAACCUCUCAAAUGAAUAAAAUCAGAGUAUUUUAAUAAUAUAUUAUUAAAAUGUUCUUUUUUUAUUGAGGAAGGUCUAGCAUAAAAAUUUAUGAAACUAGAAUUGCCUCUUUAAUAUAAAGAAUUAAUAUUUAUGUGGAGAUAAAGAAAUGAUUUUUAUUCAUGGUUUUGUGUUUAAUAAUAAAAUAAAU